Molecule: transfer RNA, 71 nt
Filed under: Pempheris schwenkii (black-stripe sweeper)
Lineage: Eukaryota; Metazoa; Chordata; Actinopteri; Acropomatiformes; Pempheridae
Description: tRNA-Asp
Rfam family: tRNA
About the family: Transfer RNA (tRNA) molecules are approximately 80 nucleotides in length. Their secondary structure includes four short double-helical elements and three loops (D, anti-codon, and T loops). Further hydrogen bonds mediate the characteristic L-shaped molecular structure. tRNAs have two regions of fundamental functional importance: the anti-codon, which is responsible for specific mRNA codon recognition, and the 3' end, to which the tRNAs corresponding amino acid is attached (by aminoacyl-tRNA synthetases). tRNAs cope with the degeneracy of the genetic code in two manners: having more than one tRNA (with a specific anti-codon) for a particular amino acid; and 'wobble' base-pairing, i.e. permitting non-standard base-pairing at the 3rd anti-codon position.
Source: RNAcentral
AAGACACUAGUAAAACACAAUUACACUGCUUUGUCAGGGCAGAGUUGUGGGUUAAAACCCCGCGUGACUUG